UACGAGGGGUGCAAGCGUUACUCGGAAUUACUGGGCAUAAAGCGUGCGUAGGCGGUUCGUUAAGUCUGAUGUGAAAGCCCUGGGCUCAACCUGGGAAUGGCAUUGGAAACUGGCGACCUAGAGUGCGGUAGAGGGUAGUGGAAUUCCCGGUGUAGCAGUGAAAUGCGUAGAGAUCGGGAGGAACAUCAGUGGCGAAGGCGACUGCCUGGACCAGCACUGACACUGAGGCACGAAAGCGUGGGGAGCAAACAGG
Molecule: ribosomal RNA, 253 nt
Filed under: uncultured bacterium
Lineage: Bacteria
Description: partial 16S ribosomal RNA
Rfam family: Bacterial small subunit ribosomal RNA
Source: RNAcentral